RNAcentral lists this transfer RNA (88 nucleotides) under uncultured archaeon. RNAcentral describes it as "tRNA-Leu(caa)". The record is from RNAcentral.
GCGUUGCUGGCUGGAACUGGCAGACGCGGUCGGCUCAAACCCGGCUGGGGUAAAACCCGUCCCGGUUCGAAUCCGGGGUGACGCACCA